UGCGCUUUUGAUUUCCAUGUUUUUCUUUUAUCCUUCUACUUCGAUUAUUCUUUACAACAUCAUCGGAAGAAUAUAAAUGUUCUGCUCUCCUCUUUUGACUUCCACGUUCUUCUUUGAUCCUUCUACUUUGAUCAUUCUUUUCAACAUCAGAAUCAUUAGAAGAACAAAUCCUUCUACUUCGAUCAUUCUUUACAACAUCAGAAUCAUCGGAAGAAUAUAAAUGUUCUUCUCUCCUCUUUUGACUUCCACGUUCUUCUUUGAUCCUUCUACUUUGAUCAUUCUUUUCAACAUCAGAAUCAUUAGAAGAACAAGAAUGCUCAGACCUGCUCUUCUGACUUCCACG
This 343-nucleotide long non-coding RNA is filed under the name Medicago truncatula (barrel medic). RNAcentral describes it as "long non-coding RNA (MTRU_LNC008333)". The record is from RNAcentral. Lineage: Eukaryota; Viridiplantae; Streptophyta; Magnoliopsida; Fabales; Fabaceae.